Molecule: ribosomal RNA, 2936 nt
Filed under: Priestia megaterium
Lineage: Bacteria; Bacillati; Bacillota; Bacilli; Caryophanales; Bacillaceae
Also listed under: 3 other names
Description: 23S ribosomal RNA
Rfam family: Bacterial large subunit ribosomal RNA
Source: RNAcentral
GGUUAAGUUAGAAAGGGCGCACGGUGAAUGCCUUGGCACUAGGAGCCGAUGAAGGACGGGACUAACACCGAUAUGCUUCGGGGAGCUGUAAGUGAGCUUUGAUCCGGAGAUUUCCGAAUGGGGAAACCCACUGUUCGUAAUGGAACAGUAUCUUUAUCUGAAUACAUAGGAUAUUGAAGGCAGACCCGGGGAACUGAAACAUCUAAGUACCCGGAGGAAGAGAAAGCAAAUGCGAUUUCCUGAGUAGCGGCGAGCGAAACGGAAUUAGCCCAAACCAAGAGGCUUGCCUCUUGGGGUUGUAGGACACUCUAUACGGAGUUACAAAGGAACGAAGUAAAUGAAGCGACCUGGAAAGGUCCGUCAAAGAAGGUAACAACCCUGUAGUUGAAACUUCGUUCCCUCUUGAGUGGAUCCUGAGUACGGCGGAACACGUGAAAUUCCGUCGGAAGCUGGGAGGACCAUCUCCCAAGGCUAAAUACUACCUAGUGACCGAUAGUGAACCAGUACCGUGAGGGAAAGGUGAAAAGCACCCCGGAAGGGGAGUGAAAGAGAUCCUGAAACCGUGUGCCUACAAGUAGUCAGAGCCCGUUAAUGGGUGAUGGCGUGCCUUUUGUAGAAUGAACCGGCGAGUUACGAUCCCAUGCAAGGUUAAGCUGAUAAGGCGGAGCCGUAGCGAAAGCGAGUCUGAAUAGGGCGUUUAGUAUGUGGUUGUAGACCCGAAACCAGGUGAUCUACCCAUGUCCAGGGUGAAGUUCAGGUAACACUGAAUGGAGGCCCGAACCCACGCACGUUGAAAAGUGCGGGGAUGAGGUGUGGGUAGCGGAGAAAUUCCAAUCGAACCUGGAGAUAGCUGGUUCUCUCCGAAAUAGCUUUAGGGCUAGCCUCAUGUUGUGAGAGUCUUGGAGGUAGAGCACUGAUUGGACUAGGGGCCCCCAACGGGUUACCGAAUUCAGUCAAACUCCGAAUGCCAAAGACUUAUCCAUGGGAGUCAGACUGCGAGUGAUAAGAUCCGUAGUCAAAAGGGAAACAGCCCAGACCACCAGCUAAGGUCCCCAAGUAUACGUUAAGUGGAAAAGGAUGUGGAGUUGCUUAGACAACCAGGAUGUUGGCUUAGAAGCAGCCACCAUUUAAAGAGUGCGUAAUAGCUCACUGGUCGAGUGACUCUGCGCCGAAAAUGUACCGGGGCUAAACGUAUCACCGAAGCUGUGGAUUGACAUCUUUGAUGUCAGUGGUAGGAGAGCGUUCUAAGUGCUGUGAAGUCAGACCGUAAGGACUGGUGGAGCGCUUAGAAGUGAGAAUGCCGGUAUGAGUAGCGAAAGACAAGUGAGAAUCUUGUCCACCGAAUGCCUAAGGUUUCCUGAGGAAGGCUCGUCCGCUCAGGGUUAGUCGGGACCUAAGCCGAGGCUGAAAAGCGUAGGCGAUGGCCAACAGGUUGAUAUUCCUGUACCACCUCCCCGCCGUUUGAGUAAUGGGGGGACGCAGUAGGAUAGGGUAAGCGCGCUGCUGGAUAUGCGCGUUCAAGCAGUUAGGCUGAUGAGUAGGCAAAUCCGCUCAUCAUAAAGGCUGAGCUGUGAUGACGAGGGAAUUAUAGUACCGAAGUUCCUGAUUCCACACUGCCAAGAAAAGCCUCUAGCGAGGCGGGAGGUGCCCGUACCGCAAACCGACACAGGUAGGCGAGGAGAGAAUCCUAAGGUGAUCGAGAGAACUCUCGUUAAGGAACUCGGCAAAAUGACCCCGUAACUUCGGGAGAAGGGGUGCUCUGGUAGGGUGUAUAGCCCGAGAGAGCCGCAGUGAAUAGGCCCAGGCGACUGUUUAGCAAAAACACAGGUCUCUGCGAAGCCGCAAGGCGAAGUAUAGGGGCUGACGCCUGCCCGGUGCUGGAAGGUUAAGAGGAGGGGUUAUCCUUUGGGAGAAGCUCUGAAUCGAAGCCCCAGUAAACGGCGGCCGUAACUAUAACGGUCCUAAGGUAGCGAAAUUCCUUGUCGGGUAAGUUCCGACCCGCACGAAAGGCGUAACGAUCUGGGCACUGUCUCAACGAGAGACUCGGUGAAAUUAUAGUACCUGUGAAGAUGCAGGUUACCCGCGACAGGACGGAAAGACCCCGUGGAGCUUUACUGUAGCCUGAUAUUGAAUUUUGGUACAGCUUGUACAGGAUAGGUAGGAGCCUAAGAAGCCGGAGCGCUAGCUUCGGUGGAGGCGUCGGUGGGAUACUACCCUGGCUGUAUUGAAAUUCUAACCCGCGGCCCUGAUCGGGCCGGGAGACAGUGUCAGGUGGGCAGUUUGACUGGGGCGGUCGCCUCCUAAAAUGUAACGGAGGCGCCCAAAGGUUCCCUCAGAAUGGUUGGAAAUCAUUCGUAGAGUGUAAAGGCACAAGGGAGCUUGACUGCGAGACCUACAAGUCGAGCAGGGACGAAAGUCGGGCUUAGUGAUCCGGUGGUUCCGCAUGGAAGGGCCAUCGCUCAACGGAUAAAAGCUACCCCGGGGAUAACAGGCUUAUCUCCCCCAAGAGUCCACAUCGACGGGGAGGUUUGGCACCUCGAUGUCGGCUCAUCGCAUCCUGGGGCUGUAGUCGGUCCCAAGGGUUGGGCUGUUCGCCCAUUAAAGCGGUACGCGAGCUGGGUUCAGAACGUCGUGAGACAGUUCGGUCCCUAUCCGUCGUGGGCGUAGGAAAUUUGAGAGGAGCUGUCCUUAGUACGAGAGGACCGGGAUGGACACACCGCUGGUGUACCAGUUGUCUUGCCAAAGGCAUCGCUGGGUAGCUAUGUGUGGACGGGAUAAGUGCUGAAAGCAUCUAAGCAUGAAGCCCCCCUCAAGAUGAGAUUUCCCAUAGCGCAAGCUAGUAAGAUCCCUGAAAGAUGAUCAGGUUGAUAGGUCAGAGGUGGAAGCGUGGCGACAUGUGUAGCUGACUGAUACUAAUCGAUCGAGGACUUAACCAA